GGAGAUGUAGCUCAGAUGGUACUCGCUUAGCAAGCAAGAGGUACGGGGAUCGAUACUCCGCAUUUCUA
RNAcentral lists this transfer RNA (68 nucleotides) under Jatropha curcas. It matches the Rfam family "tRNA". Rfam says of the family: Transfer RNA (tRNA) molecules are approximately 80 nucleotides in length. Their secondary structure includes four short double-helical elements and three loops (D, anti-codon, and T loops). Further hydrogen bonds mediate the characteristic L-shaped molecular structure. tRNAs have two regions of fundamental functional importance: the anti-codon, which is responsible for specific mRNA codon recognition, and the 3' end, to which the tRNAs corresponding amino acid is attached (by aminoacyl-tRNA synthetases). tRNAs cope with the degeneracy of the genetic code in two manners: having more than one tRNA (with a specific anti-codon) for a particular amino acid; and 'wobble' base-pairing, i.e. permitting non-standard base-pairing at the 3rd anti-codon position. Lineage: Eukaryota; Viridiplantae; Streptophyta; Magnoliopsida; Malpighiales; Euphorbiaceae. The record is from Rfam by way of RNAcentral.